GUGGGGAAUUUUGGACAAUGGGCGCAAGCCUGAUCCAGCAAUGCCGCGUGCAGGAAGAAGGCCUUCGGGUUGUAAACUGCUUUUGUACGGAACGAAACGGUCCGGGUUAAUACCCUGGGCUAAUGACGGUACCGUAAGAAUAAGCACCGGCUAACUACGUGCCAGCAGCCGCGGUAAUACGUAGGGUGCAAGCGUUAAUCGGAAUUACUGGGCGUAAAGCGUUCGCAGGCGGUUUUGUAAGACAGGCGUGAAAUCCCCGGGCUCAACCUGGGAAUUGCGCUUGUGACUGCAAGGCUGGAGUGCGGCAGAGGGGGAUGGAAUUCCGCGUGUAGCAGUGAAAUGCGUAGAUAUGCGGAGGAACACCGAUGGCGAAGGCAAUCCCCUGGGCCUGCACUGACGCUCAUGCACGAAAGCGUGGGGAGCAAACAGGAUUAGAAACCCCGGUAGUCC
Molecule: ribosomal RNA, 450 nt
Filed under: uncultured bacterium
Lineage: Bacteria
Description: partial 16S ribosomal RNA
Rfam family: Bacterial small subunit ribosomal RNA
Source: RNAcentral